This 497-nucleotide ribosomal RNA is filed under the name uncultured bacterium. RNAcentral's name for it is "partial 16S ribosomal RNA". It matches the Rfam family "Bacterial small subunit ribosomal RNA", at positions 28 to 507 of the family's 1533-position model. The record is from RNAcentral.
GAUGAACGCUGGCGGCGUGCCUAAUACAUGCAAGUCGAGCGAACAGACGAGGAGCUUGCUCCUCUGACGUUAGCGGCGGACGGGUGAGUAACACGUGGAUAACCUACCUAUAAGACUGGGAUAACUUCGGGAAACCGGAGCUAAUACCGGAUAAGAUAUUGAACCGCAUGGUUCAAUAGUGAAAGACGGUUUUGCUGUCACUUAUAGAUGGAUCCGCGCCGCAUUAGCUAGUUGGUAAGGUAACGGCUUACCAAGGCAACGAUGCGUAGCCGACGUGAGAGGGUGAUAGGCCACACGGGAGGUGAGACACGGUCAAGACUCUUACGGGAGGCAGCAGUAGGGAAUCUUACGCAAUGGGCGAAAGCCUGACGGAGCAACGCCGCGUGAGUGAUGAAGGUCUUCGGAUCGUAAAACUCUGUUAUUAGGGAAGAACAAAUGUGUAAGUAAAUAUGCACGUCUUGACGGUAACUAAUCAGAAAGCAACGGCUAACUACGUG